GGCCGGGUGGCGCAAGGGUAGCGCGUUACUUUCCGGUGGUAUAUCUUGGUUGGUAAAGGUUCUGGGUUCGAAUCCCAGCCUGGUCG
Molecule: non-coding RNA, 86 nt
Organism: Chaetomium sp. MPI-CAGE-AT-0009
Lineage: Eukaryota; Fungi; Ascomycota; Sordariomycetes; Sordariales; Chaetomiaceae
Source: the annotation of a GenBank genome assembly